GACGAACGCUGGCGGCGUGCUUAACACAUGCAAGUCGAACGGAAAGGCCCUGCUUUUGUGGGGUGCUCGAGUGGCGAACGGGUGAGUAACACGUGAGUAACCUGCCCUUGACUUUGGGAUAACUUCAGGAAACUGGGGCUAAUACCGGAUAGGAGCUCCUGCUGCAUGGUGGGGGUUGGAAAGUUUCGGCGGUUGGUGAUGGACUCGCGGCUUAUCAGCUUGUUGGUGGGGUAGUGGCUUACCAAGGCUUUGACGGGUAGCCGGCCUGAGAGGGUGACCGGCCACAUUGGGACUGAGAUACGGCCCAGACUCCUACGGGAGACAGCAGUGGGGAAUAUUGCACAAUGGGCGGAAGCCUGAUGCAGCAACGCCGCGUGCGGGAUGACGGCCUUCGGGUUGUAAACCGCUUUCGCCUGUGACGAAGCGUGAGUGACGGUAAUGGGUAAAGAAGCACCGGCUAACUACGUG
This 468-nucleotide ribosomal RNA is filed under the name uncultured bacterium. RNAcentral describes it as "partial 16S ribosomal RNA". It matches the Rfam family "Bacterial small subunit ribosomal RNA", at positions 28 to 507 of the family's 1533-position model. The record is from RNAcentral.